This is a long non-coding RNA of Cyanistes caeruleus (blue tit), 646 nucleotides long. RefSeq lists it as uncharacterized. The record is from RefSeq and is a predicted model, not a curated record. NCBI's taxonomy places the organism in Eukaryota, Metazoa, Chordata, Aves, Passeriformes, Paridae.
GAGGGCGCAAGGCCUCUCCGCCAACAUGGUGGCUGGGCAGCCGGCCUGUCCCGUGCUGGCCCGCUGGGGCUGAGCAGGUGCCGAUGCAUCACUGCCCUGAUGGGUCUGUCAAUAACACCGAGCAGGGGAGGGCAGCUCUCACAAUUUAAUCGCUCGAGGCGCCGUGUGUCGCUGCAUACGUGGCAGCUUAAAGCAGGGCCAGGGCCAAGGAGGACUCCUAGUUUUCCCACCCAGACGUGCAGAACAGACUGGGCUAAGCAGAAGACCCUCUAGCAGAGACGUGCCAUGGAAAGGACUACUUCCCAAGGACUCGGUUCCCUGAGGGCAUCACAGCAAUGCUCCUGCUGCCUUCUGCUGCUGCUUCUUCUGGAGGGGACAGAUCCCUGCCUACCAUCCACAGGGCUGCCCAAGGCUCAGCUGAGUCCAAUCCAUUUAUCUCCUGUAACUGUUAUUAAAUCUGACCUGAAGUGGGGGAAAAAAUAGCAUUUUUAGGAUUGCAGGAAAUUAAGAAACCUCUUUAGAGAUGAAAGAAAUGCUCUGUACUGUUACUCUAGGGAAGGAUUGUGUUCCACUGGUUUCAUUGUCAUUUAACGUAGAACAUAAAGGUUAAUGCUGAAUAAAAUAAUACUCAUGUUGAUUAUUUUAA